This 504-nucleotide ribosomal RNA is filed under the name uncultured bacterium. RNAcentral describes it as "partial 16S ribosomal RNA". It matches the Rfam family "Bacterial small subunit ribosomal RNA", at positions 29 to 523 of the family's 1533-position model. The record is from RNAcentral.
AUUGAACGCUGGCGGCAGGCCUAACACAUGCAAGUCGAGCGGUAGCACAGAGAGCUUGCUCUCGGGUGACGAGCGGCGGACGGGUGAGUAAUGUCUGGGAAACUGCCCGAUGGAGGGGGAUAACUACUGGAAACGGUAGCUAAUACCGCAUAACGUCGCAAGACCAAAGAGGGGGACCUUCGGGCCUCUUGCCAUCGGAUGUGCCCAGAUGGGAUUAGCUAGUAGGUGGGGUAACGGCUCACCUAGGCGACGAUCCCUAGCUGGUCUGAGAGGAGGACCGCCAACAUGAGAACUGAGAACCGGUACAGACUCCAAGGGAAGGCAGCAGGGGGGAAUAUUGCAAAAUGGGCGCAAGCCUGAUGCAGCCAGGCCGCGUGUAAGAAGAAGGCCUUCGGGUUGUAAAGUACUUUCAGCGGGGAGGAAGGUGUUGGGGUUAAUAACCUCAGCAAUUGCCGUUACCCGAAGAAGAGGCACCGGCUAACUCCGUGCCAGCCGCCGGGGUAA